GCGGGUGUGGCGGAACUGGCAGACGCGCAGGAUUUAGGGUCCUGUUCUCCGGAGUGAGGGUUCGAGUCCCUCCACCCGCACCA
RNAcentral lists this transfer RNA (83 nucleotides) under Actinomycetota bacterium. Its description in RNAcentral is "tRNA-Leu". It matches the Rfam family "tRNA". From Rfam's summary of the family: Transfer RNA (tRNA) molecules are approximately 80 nucleotides in length. Their secondary structure includes four short double-helical elements and three loops (D, anti-codon, and T loops). The record is from RNAcentral. Lineage: Bacteria; Bacillati; Actinomycetota. RNAcentral also lists the same sequence under 2 other names.